This 208-nucleotide long non-coding RNA is filed under the name Mytilus galloprovincialis (Mediterranean mussel). The record is from RNAcentral. Lineage: Eukaryota; Metazoa; Mollusca; Bivalvia; Mytilida; Mytilidae.
GCCCAUAUUUUUCUAUUUAUUGUUUUAUUUAUUCCCUUUAUUCUCUAUUCUACAAUCCCCAUCAUGACCCUCAUAAGGAACAAAGAUGUCAAGCAAAUACUUUUACAAAUUGAUGAACAAUACGAAUGUAAAAUACAUAACUAAAUAGCAUGUGACUUUGUAUGACAACAUAAUCAAAAAUCUGACUCUUCUUUCCAGGUAAGCAGCC